This 433-nucleotide ribosomal RNA is filed under the name uncultured bacterium. RNAcentral describes it as "partial 16S ribosomal RNA". It matches the Rfam family "Bacterial small subunit ribosomal RNA", at positions 29 to 507 of the family's 1533-position model. The record is from RNAcentral.
AACGAACGCUGGCGGCAUGCCUAACACAUGCAAGUCGAACGAGACCUUCGGGUAUAGUGGCGCACGGGUGCGUAACGCGUGGGAACCUGCCCUUAGGUUCGGAAUAACUCCCCGAAAGGGGUGCUAAUACCGGAUAAUGUCUUCGGACCAAAGAUUUAUCGCCUUUGGAUGGGCCCGCGUUGGAUUAGCUAGUUGGUAGGGUAAAAGCCUACCAAGGCGACGAUCCAUAGCUGGUCUAAGAGGAUGAUCAGCCACACUGGGACUGAGACACGGCCCAGACUCCUACGGGAGGCAGCAGUGGGGAAUAUUGGACAAUGGGCGAAAGCCUGAUCCAGCAAUGCCGCGUGAGUGAUGAAGGCCUUAGGGUUGUAAAGCUCUUUUACCCGGGAUGAUAAUGACAGUACCGGGAGAAUAAGCUCCGGCUAACUCCGUG